UGCCCAAAGUCGGUGAGUUAACUUCGGAGACCAUUGCCUAAGGCGGACCGAUGACUGGGGUGAAGUCGUAACAAGGUAUCCCUACGAGAACGUGGGGAUGGAACACCUCCUUUCUACGGAAAAACCAAAAACAAAACAUAAAUUUAUUCACACCUUUUAUUAGAUUAAAUUUUUUCUAAAUUUUUACAUUUUUAACAUCAUUUUCAUUAUUUAUUCUUAUUCUUUUUAUUAAAUUAAAAGAUUUUUAUAGAUUUUAUUUGUAUUUUUUUAAUUCAUUUCCUCCUUAUUUAUUUAUAAUUAUUUAUUAAUCUAGUUGUUGUAAAAUUUUAAAUUGGACUAUAUACCUAGUUUU
This 352-nucleotide ribosomal RNA is filed under the name Mesomycoplasma hyopneumoniae. RNAcentral describes it as "Mycoplasma hyopneumoniae partial ribosomal RNA". The stretch from base 1 to 113 matches the Rfam family "Bacterial small subunit ribosomal RNA", at positions 1418 to 1533 of the family's 1533-position model. Lineage: Bacteria; Bacillati; Mycoplasmatota; Mycoplasmoidales; Metamycoplasmataceae. The record is from RNAcentral.